Molecule: long non-coding RNA, 909 nt
Organism: Cyprinodon tularosa
Lineage: Eukaryota; Metazoa; Chordata; Actinopteri; Cyprinodontiformes; Cyprinodontidae
Exons: 2
Source: RefSeq, a predicted model, not a curated record
GCGACUUUGGAGAAGACAGACGGCAGUGUCGAAGAGACUGAAGAGAUCGGAGAGGGAAAGAUGUUUCUAUACAAAGCGCAACGAAUCAGGAAACUUUUACUGAGAUUUCCACAUGGAGGAGGACUUUGCCCCUCUUCUCUCCCUCUCCCUGCCAGAGCAUCAGCACCUUGGCUUUAGACUGCUUACUGCUUAUACAGUGUCACAGUACAGUAACAGUCUACAGUCAUGGCUACUGAAGCCUGGCGUUUCAUCAAACAACUCUGCAAGAACAACGUAUACAUGGAAAAAAGCCUAUUGACAGUGCACAGUGCUUUUAAAAUGGCCGACAUGACAGCGGAGUCUCGAUGUGUGUCAGAAAUCUCACUCUCGCUCUCUUCCUUCCUCUCCUGUGGUGUUUUUUCCCUCCUCCUGCUCAGAGAGGAAACCUGUGUGGGCUUGCAUUGAGGGAGUCCUACACCCUGUAAGUGCGUAAGGCUCACAAUAAAACCAAUCAGACUUGGCAGUUUCCAGUUACCAUGCAAACUCCAGCUCCACCUUAACCCUGCUGUCUCCAUGGUGACCGUGGCUUUAGAUUGUUACUCUAGCAACAGCACCAUGGUAACAGUCUACAGCCAUGGUCGUUAGGGGCAGAUCUCAUCAGGAACUGAAAAGUUGAGGCCAAUUACUAUUUGUUGUAUUUCAAAGCGUUAAUGUCUCAGCAGUCUACCUGUAUUAUGGUUGUUUGAUAUAGGAGAGGAUUACAUGUGAUGCUUAUUGAAGACAUGUAUAGUUAUGUAGCAUAUUAAACAGCAAUAUGGUUUAAUAAAGUGAUAUGUCAAACCUCAUAAAAGUCAGAAAUAACUUAUUUUUUAUAUAUUCUGUUAUCAUGUAAUGAUCCACACUAAAUAAACAUCAAACUUCAAAUUCAAA